Molecule: ribosomal RNA, 308 nt
Filed under: uncultured bacterium
Lineage: Bacteria
Description: bacterial SSU rRNA
Rfam family: Bacterial small subunit ribosomal RNA
Source: RNAcentral
CGUGUCGUGAGAUGUCAGGUUAAGUCCUGUAACGAGCGCAACCCUCGUCGUUAGUUAUACGUGUCUAACGAGACUGCCCGUGAUAAGCGGGAGGAAGGUGAGGAUGACGUCAAGUCAGCAUGGCCUUUAUAUCCUGCGCUACACACACGCUACAAUGGCCAGUACAAUGGGCAGCCAAGCCGCGAGGCGGAGCCAAUCCCGUAGAGCUGGUCUCAGUUCGGAUUGCAGGCUGCAACUCGCCUGCAUGAAGUCGGAGUUGCUAGUAACCGCGCGUCAGCCAUAGUGCGGUGAAUACGUUCCCGGGGAUU